Long non-coding RNA from Rhinolophus ferrumequinum (greater horseshoe bat), 845 nucleotides. RefSeq lists it as uncharacterized. The record is from RefSeq and is a predicted model, not a curated record. Lineage: Eukaryota; Metazoa; Chordata; Mammalia; Chiroptera; Rhinolophidae. The transcript has 3 exons.
CCAGGACAGAAGACACUUGCUCCUUAACCACAAAGCAGGUUAUUCUCUCUUCUCUGUUUAUACAAGACAUUCCUUUGCCACAAUGGGAUCCAGAGGCAAGAGAAGCAGGAAAGGAGCAGGAAGGGAGACUGAGGGAGAGGAACUCCUGGCAGAGGACGUGGUGUCAGACUGAAAGACAAAGAAGCUGUGAAGAAAUGUUUGUGCUGGCGGAUGGAAUUUGGAUCCUUCUGGAUUCUUCCCGUUGGUUGACUGAGCUUUCUGAACUUUACUGAUUGCUGUGAAGUGGAAUAAUGGCCCUCAAAGAUGUCCAGUGACCUAGUCUGCAGAACGUGUGACUGCAUUGUAUUACAUGGCAAAGGGGAAUUAAGGUUGCGGAUGGAGUUAAGGAGUGGUCAAGAAUGCUUAUGGAUUUUGAUAUCCUUCAAAUAAUAACAAAUAAGAUCCCAAUAUUUCCAGACUUUAUCUGGGACUGGUUUCUAUUGGUGAAAGUUCUGCAAAAGAGCAAAGUGAACUUGGAGCAGAUGGUGCAUCCGUCCGUUGCAGAAAUCCACUUGCAGCCUGAGGAAAACUUUAUACAGAAGGUGGACAUAAUGGCUUUCUGCUCAGUUUGUUGUAAAUUCUAAAUGGGUGAUUGAAGGCUGUAAUGAUCACUGCUGUUGAAUGCCUUUGGGCUUCAACAUCUGGCAAAUGCCUAUACUAGCUGACAGCUGUUAGCCUUGGUAUGGGCGUGUGCUGCCCAGAGCUUUUGUUUCAAGUAGGCUGGAGAUGAUGCUCCAAGCAAGUAUCACCAAUUCAUGUAUCAAGACAACACCCCCCCCACCGCCAAAAAAAACAACACCUUUAUU